Triplophysa dalaica is the source of this 320-nucleotide long non-coding RNA. RefSeq lists it as uncharacterized. Lineage: Eukaryota; Metazoa; Chordata; Actinopteri; Cypriniformes; Nemacheilidae. The transcript has 3 exons. The record is from RefSeq and is a predicted model, not a curated record.
GAUUACCAGUUGAAAACAUGAUCAGUUGAAAACACGUAGUCAAACAGUCCAGCCUAAACUACUUAGUUGGAAUGACGUCGUAAACCAGUCCAAGGCGGACCGACUUAUUUUCAACCAUAUUUCAACGUUGAAAGACGUAACUAUGGCAACACUGGUGUUAGGCGGAUCGAGAUACCAGCUCUGAUGGUGUGCCUGGGAGAUUCCUGGAGCUGCAAAGAUGGAUUAGGUAGAAGUCCUAGGGUAUUGGAUCGACCUGAAAGCCCUGGUCCGCACAUGCUCGACACUGGAAAAGUGCCUAUUGACAUUACCAGCAAUCUCAA